RNAcentral lists this long non-coding RNA (212 nucleotides) under Physcomitrium patens. Its description in RNAcentral is "long non-coding RNA (PPAT_LNC007054)". The record is from RNAcentral. Lineage: Eukaryota; Viridiplantae; Streptophyta; Bryopsida; Funariales; Funariaceae.
AGCAACUAUUGGUUCUUCUAUAUCUCAUACCUUCACCAAUACCUCAGUAGUUGCCCUUGCCCAAUGCUUUCGAGUAUAAUGGCUCAAAGUUUCUAUUUCCUUGUCACUAGAAUCUUCGAAACGUACUCGCUGAUUAUACCCAUUCUUUUCAUUUGUUGGUUGCUUGUAACCAAUAUCAACCUCUUCUUCAUCUCUAUAUAUUCUUGCGUCAA